RNAcentral lists this long non-coding RNA (878 nucleotides) under Phoenix dactylifera (date palm). Its description in RNAcentral is "long non-coding RNA (PDAC_LNC017391)". The record is from RNAcentral. Lineage: Eukaryota; Viridiplantae; Streptophyta; Magnoliopsida; Arecales; Arecaceae.
GUGGACUCUUGGAAAAGUGAGUUAAUUUUUCUGGCCCCAUUGCAGGCGCAUCAAUAUCACCAAUUCCUGACCGAACAAAGGUAGGAACCCUAAAAUCAUCCUCGUCAUCCAACUUCUCAGAAGAAUUCUUUGCCUUGGUGUCAUGUUGAUGUAGUGAACUACAUUCAGCAACUGGUCCUGUAGCAUUCAAAGUUCUGUUACUCAUAUUCUUUAUGGAUCUUUGCUCAAAUUCCAUCCUUGCGGCAUUGAGAUUCAUUCCAUCAGAGGAAUGGGAGUUAACUCUCUCAGAUGAAUGAACAGGUGUAUGAGCGGGCAUGUAGAAUGGAGAGUAAACACUCCUCUCUUGCCCGCACCCCUACAGCCAGUAGUACACUUGAUUAAUCAACUAAUACUAAUGUAAGAUAAGAAAUGGAAUGACAUCUAGCUUUUUCUAAAUCAAGUGUAUGUUUUUCUUUCAGAAAGAAUACAUUUCUCAGGCUAACAAAGUAUAUCUAAUCCAGAUUGCUAUAGAGAAAAGGCUUGCGGCAUGAGUUAAAAAGACCAUAAAGAAGACCAAAGAUGGUGUUUAACAUUGUAUGCACAUCCUCAUUAGGACAAGCCACCAAAGUGCCAGUCAAACAUGUCUUAAUGAAAAGCAUAAAAAAAUGAAUCAGGGAACCUGAAAUGGGGUGAAGAAGCACGUAAUUGAUGGUUGUUUGGAGGAAAUCCUUUACGUCAAAGUGACAAGUUAAAAGUAGAAUUUGGUCAUAUUUGAUGGUAAGAAAGUAAAGGCAUUAACUUCUUUAUUGCUGCUUUAGAGAGGUUGAAGCAUGAAAAGCAGUUAACAUCCUAGAACUCAUCCCAAGAUGGCCUUGGACUUCUAUUUGUUGAUCUUAUGG